AGAUCCUGGCAGUUUUCAGGUUUGCUCUCCUCAUUUUGGCCUACGCUGUUUGUAAACUGCGUCACUGGUGGGCCGUCGCUAUCACAACCACAGUCAGCUGUGCCUUCCUCAUUGUCAAAGUCAUUUUAUCAAAGGUAAGAGGGAAGUCUAAGUCACUGCUCCCCCUGCUGGCCAUCCAUAGAACCAGCUUCCAGCAGUUGUAGUUGGACUUGUCGGUUCUGAAUCAACAUCUACUUUUUAUUUACUUUUUUGUCGUUCUCACCUUAGAGAGUAAGAAUUAUAAUUUCUAAAAGUUAUCUAAAAGGUUGCUACAAGAUCGAUUAAAUAAAGAUAUAAAGACGAACCACUAAAAAAGGC
Long non-coding RNA from Cynoglossus semilaevis (tongue sole), 357 nucleotides. RefSeq lists it as uncharacterized. The record is from RefSeq and is a predicted model, not a curated record. The transcript has 2 exons. Lineage: Eukaryota; Metazoa; Chordata; Actinopteri; Pleuronectiformes; Cynoglossidae.